AGGGAGACUGCCGGUGACAAACCGGAGGAAGGUGGGGACGACGUCAGGUCAUCAUGGCCCUUACGACCUGGGCUACACACGUGCUACAAUGGCUGGUACAGAGGGUUGCGAAGUCGCGAGGCGAAGCUAAUCCCUUAAAGCCAGUCGUAGUCCGGAUCGGAGUCUGCAACUCGACCCCGUGAAGUCGGAAUCGCUAGUAAUCGCGGAUCAGAAUGCCGCGGUGAAUACGUUCCCGGGCCUUGUACACACCGCCCGUCACACCAUGGGAGUGGAUUGCACCAGAAGUGGCUAGUCUAACUACGGAGGACGGUCACCACGGUGUGGUUCAUGACUGGGGUGAAGUCGUAACAAGGUAGCCGUAGGGGAACCUGCGGCUGGAUCACCUCCUUAAUCU
RNAcentral lists this ribosomal RNA (394 nucleotides) under uncultured Alcanivorax sp. Its description in RNAcentral is "bacterial SSU rRNA". It matches the Rfam family "Bacterial small subunit ribosomal RNA", at positions 1142 to 1533 of the family's 1533-position model. The record is from RNAcentral. Lineage: Bacteria; Pseudomonadati; Pseudomonadota; Gammaproteobacteria; Oceanospirillales; Alcanivoracaceae.